This 496-nucleotide ribosomal RNA is filed under the name uncultured bacterium. RNAcentral describes it as "bacterial SSU rRNA". It matches the Rfam family "Bacterial small subunit ribosomal RNA", at positions 29 to 524 of the family's 1533-position model. The record is from RNAcentral.
AAUGAACGUUGGCGGCGUGGAUUAGGCAUGCAAGUCGAGCGAGAAGGUUUCUUUUGCUUGCAUUAGAAACUGGAAAGCGGCGAAAGGGAGAGUAACGCGUAGAAUACCUGCCCCGAGGCCUGGGAUAGCGGGGGGAAACCGCCGGUAAUACCAGAUAAUGUUUCCGAACCAAAGGUGUGAUUCCGCCUCGGGAUGGUUCUGCGUCCUAUUAGCUUGUUGGUGGGGUAACGGCCUACCAAGGCAAUGAUGGGUAGCGGGCGUGAGAGCGUGGCCCGUCUCACUGGGACUGAGACACUGCCCAGACACCUACGGGUGGCUGCAGUCGAGAAUCUUCCGCAAUGGACGAAAGUCUGACGGAGCGACGCCGCGUGCGGGAUGAAGGCCUUCGGGUUGUAACCGCUGUCAGUGGGGUGAAAUGUAUUGAGGUUAUCCUCUUUUACUUUGACCUAACCGCAGAGGAAGUCCGGGCUAAGUACGUGCCAGCAGCCGCGGUAAU